RNAcentral lists this ribosomal RNA (253 nucleotides) under uncultured bacterium. Its description in RNAcentral is "partial 16S ribosomal RNA". It matches the Rfam family "Bacterial small subunit ribosomal RNA", at positions 524 to 776 of the family's 1533-position model. The record is from RNAcentral.
UACGAAGGGGGCUAGCGUUGUUCGGAAUUACUGGGCGUAAAGCGCGCGCAGGCGGUUUUCCAAGUCAGUGGUGAAAGCCCGGAGCUCAACUCCGGAACUGCCAUUGAAACUGGCGAACUUGAGUACGAGAGAGGUGAGUGGAAUUCCCAGUGUAGAGGUGAAAUUCGUAGAUAUUGGGAAGAACACCGGUGGCGAAGGCGGCUCACUGGCGCGUAACUGACGCUCAGGCGCGACAGCGUGGGGAUCAAACAGG